UCCUCAGCUAAUGCAACUAAAAUUACUUUGACCUCGAUAUUACAGAGGUCUUGCAUAUUAGAGAAAGGUAAAAAAAAAAUUUCCAACUAAUCAUGAUUUUGAAUGUUUACAUACAAACAUAAUAGAGUAUUCUAGCUUAUGAUUUCAUAUUGGUUUAGGUCUUCCCGCCGAACACCUCCACUUGAAAUCACACUCCCAGCGGGAAUUGAUUACAAUUAGGCAACCCAAUCCAUUGCUUACACUAAAAAGUCAAUUUCCCAAUUGCUAGAAACAAAGUGGGAAUCUGGGUAAAAUGUAUGGUCAUGUUUGUUAUUUGCCUUUUCACCAACCAAAAUAUUUAUACGGUUAUGUUUCUCCUAAUAUUGUGUUAACUGUGUUACCAUUUUUUCAAGUACUAAACCAAUAAGUCUAUCGUUCCAAGGCUAUUGGUAUUUCCACUGAGAAAGGCUGGUACUACCUGUGAUGCCACAACUGCACAACUAAAUUGGUGAGAAACACAAGGGACCAUUGGUGCCCUAGAUGCAAGGUCCAAAUAGAUGAACUGGUUCCCAGGCUCUGGACAUUAUUCAAUGCUAAAUUAGUACCUGUUCCUAUACUUGAAACUGACAUCUACUGACAAUGGUUUGGUCCAUGGUUAUUUUGAUACCUUCUAAGAUUGGAAGUUGAGGAAUCAUCGGGUACCUCCUUUUUUGUUGCCAUGGACAGCAAAGUCCAAAAAUUGUCCAUCUACCAGCUUUGGAUGUUGUGGCUAAGGGCGAGGUUGAAGGCUUGGCAACAGUGCAUGCCGCCUUUGAAUCACUCAUCGUUGUCUUCCAGGAUUACCUCAUACUGAUAACUCCGUAUAACAUGAAAUAUCUCGAAAUCCCAAGCUUCACUGUAGCAAAGUUUCCUUCGCCCCCUCUAGCACCAACUCCAACCAUAUCUGCUCGGGAUACCCCGAAAUCAUUCGUCCUGAAGAUGAGCAUGUGACCGAUAAUGAACCACCUCGCAAGAAAUCCUGCCUGCAGAAGAUGCCUAAUUCUACAUCGGCAUCCACCAUUGCUGAAGAUUAAGCACCAUUAAGACACGAUUCAAAAAAUAAAACAACACAUAGGAAUUGUCAAUCAUAUUUCUUUCUGUCUCUGCAUUUUGUUUUAGUGUGUUUCCCGUUUAGCAAUUCAUUCUGGUGUAUCUCUCUUGAUGCUUUUGGUUUAGGUGUAACUCCCAUUUUUAUGGCAUUAUGGUAUUAGUACCUUUUAUCA
Long non-coding RNA from Papaver somniferum (opium poppy), 1241 nucleotides. RefSeq lists it as uncharacterized. The transcript has 2 exons. Lineage: Eukaryota; Viridiplantae; Streptophyta; Magnoliopsida; Ranunculales; Papaveraceae. The record is from RefSeq and is a predicted model, not a curated record.